AAGAAACUAACCAGGAUCGCCCCUAGUAAUGGCGAAUGAAGCGGGCUGAGCUCACGCUGCCAAUCUGGAGGCCUCGCGUAUGCAGCGCCCCCCGAAUUGUGGUCUAGAGAGGCGUUAUCGGCCGCGCCCGCCGCUCAAGUCCCUUGGAACAGGGUGUCGGAGAGGGUGAGAAUCCCGUACCGUGGCGGGUUGCGGCCUUACGAUGCGUCCUCGUCGAGUCGGGUUGCUUGGGAUUGCAGCUUGAAUUGGGUGGUAAAUUCCAUCUAAAGCUAAAUACUGGCGAGAGACCGAUAGCGAACAAGUACCGUGAGGGAAAGAUGCAAAGAACUUUGAAAAGAGAGUCAAAGAGUGCUUGAAAUCGGUAGGAGGAAACCCGGAUGGGCCCGGCUUCGGCGCGCCGACUCAGCCUGGGGUUCUCCCCAGGUGCACUUCUGCGCGCCGGGUCAGCCGCGCCUCGGCGCCGCGCCUCAACCCGGGAGCGGGGCUUUACGGCCAGCUCCCGUCCUGGCGCGGCCCGGGGCCCGGCUGACGGAACGGGCCCCUCCGACCCGUCUAGAAACACGGACCAAGGAGUCUGACACGUGUGCGAGUACCCGGGUGGCAAGCCCGCGUGCGGAAUGAAAGUGAAGGGCAUGCCCUGCCAACCGACCUUGACCUGCUGUGAGGGGUUUGAGUGGAGCACACCUGUCGGGACCCGAAAGAUGGUGAACUAUGCCUGGGUAGGGUGAAGCCAGAGGAAACUCUGGUGGAGGCUCGUAGCGAUACUGACGUGCAAAUCGUUCGUCGAAUCUGGGUAUAGGGGCGAAAGACUAAUCGAACCAUCUAGUAGCUGGUUCCCUCCGAAGUUUCCCUCAGGAUAGCUUGAACGCAACGGUUUUGUCAGGUAAAGCGAAUGAUUAGAGGCCUGUGGGCUGAAACAGCUUGCACCUAUUCUCAAACUUUAAAUGGGCAAGAGGCCCGGGAUGCUUGAGUGAUCCCGGGCGGCGAACGGCGCGUUCAAAGUGGGCCAUUUUUGGUAAGCAGAACUGGCGAUGCGGGAUGAACCGAACGCCGCGCUAAGGUACCCAAGUGUCCGCUCAUCAGAUACCACAAAAGGCGUUGGUACCUCCAGACAGCAGGACGGUGGCCAUGGAAGUCGGAACCCGCUAAGGAGUGUGUAACAACUCACCUGCCGAAGGUACUAGCCCUGAAAAUGGAUGGCGCUCAAGCGGACCACCGAUGCGCGGCCGCCGGCGCGAGCGCGAGGCGCCGGCGAGUAGGAGGGCGCGGGGCUCGCGGCGCAGCCUUGGGCGCGAGCCUGGGUGAAGCGGGCCCCGGUGCAGAUCUUGGUGGUAGUAGCAAAUAUUCAAAUGAGAACUUUGAAGACUGAAGUGGAGAAAGGUUCCGUGUGAACAGCAGUUGGACACGGGUGAGCCGACCCUAAGAGACAGGAAAACUCCGCCGAACGCGGCUGGUUCUGUCAGCCCGUCCGUCGAAAGGGAAUCGGGUUAAUAUUCCCGAGCCAGCGCGUGGAUGGUGGGCGGCGACGCGAACGAACCCGGAGACGCCGGCGGGAGCCCUGGGAAGAGUUCUCUUUUCUUCUUAACUGCCUCCUGCCCUGGAAUCGGUUUAGCCGGAGCGAGGGCUACACGGCAGGCAAAGCACCCUAAGUCUUGGGGUGUCCGGCGCGCUCCCGACGGCCCGUGAAAAUCUGGGGGAGCGGUUCGUUCUCACGCCUGGUCGUACUCAUAACCGCAUCAGGUCUCCAAGGUGAACAGCCUCUAGUCGAUAGAGCAAUGUAGGUAAGGGAAGUCGGCAAAAUGGUUCCGCAACCUCGGGAGAAGGAAUGGCUCUGAAGGCUGGGCGCAGGGGUCCUAGGCUCGAGGCCGGCUGGCUGCGCGGGGACUACGGCCUCACGGCUGCGGAUCCCGCGCGGCCGUCCGGCGGACGGCCUAGGAGCGCUCCGGCUCUCCCUGCGCGACGAACAGCCGCUUCAGAACUGGCGCGGACAAGGGGAAUCCGACUGUUUAAUUAAAACAAAGCAUUGCGAUGGCCCGCGAGGGUGCUGACGCAAUGUGAUUUCUGCCCAGUGCUCUGAAUGUCAAAGUGAAGAAAUUCAACCAAGCGCGGGUAAACGGCGGGAGUAACUAUGACUCUCUUAAGGUAGCCAAAUGCCUCGUCAUCCAAUUAGUGACGCGCAUGAAUGGAUUCGUGAGAUUCCCACUGUCCCUAUCUACUGUCUAGCGAAACCACAGCCAAGGGAACGGGCUUGGAAGAAUCAGCGGGGAAAGAAGACCCUGUUGAGCUUGACUCUAGUCUGUUACUGUGGAACGACUUGAUGGGUGUAGAAUAUGCGGGAGGGGCAACCCGACAGUGAAAUACCGCAACCGUCAACGUUGUUUUACUUACUCGGUGGCGCGGAGGGAGGCUCGCCUCACUUCUGGAUCCAAGCCGCUUCGUGCGCGCGAUCCGCGUCGGGGACACUAACAGGUGGGGAGUUUGGCUGGGGCGGCACGUCUGUUAAAAAAUAACGCAGGCGCCCGAUUUUGAGCUCAAUGAGAACAGAAAUCUCAUGUGGACCGAAAGGGGAAAAGCUCGGUUGAUUUUGAUUUUCAGUACGAAUACAAACCGCGAAAGCGUGGCCUAUCGAUCCUCUCGUCUUUGGGAAUUUCAAGCUAGAGGUGUCAGAAAAGUUACCACAGGGAUAACUGGCUUGUGGCUGCCAAGCGUUCAUAGCGACGUAGCUUUUUGAUCCUUCGAUGUCGGCUCUUCCUAUCACUGCCUCGCAGCGGGGGCCAAAUGCAGGAUUGUUCACCCACCAACAGGGAACGUGAGCUGGGUUUAGACCGUCGUGAGACAGGUUAGUUUUACCCUACUGCUGUCUGUUUUUCUACGGUAAUUUGGUUCAGUACGAGAGGAACCACCAAUUCGCAUCAUCGGUAUAGCCGCCGCCGGAAACGGCGAUGCGGCGAAGCUGCCAUGCGCCGGAUUAUAACUGAACGCCUCUAAGUUAGAAUCCAUGCCGGAAGGAAAGCCACCUACCGGCCCGGGGACGCCACGAGCAACGGUAGCACUGCCUGAGCCGCGAGCGACCACAAUUCACGGACCCGGGCCGACGAAUCCCUUGCAGACGACUUG
Molecule: ribosomal RNA, 3117 nt
Filed under: Emiliania huxleyi CCMP1516
Lineage: Eukaryota; Haptophyta; Isochrysidales; Noelaerhabdaceae
Description: eukaryotic LSU rRNA
Rfam family: Eukaryotic large subunit ribosomal RNA
Source: RNAcentral